Molecule: long non-coding RNA, 1063 nt
Filed under: Cricetulus griseus (Chinese hamster)
Lineage: Eukaryota; Metazoa; Chordata; Mammalia; Rodentia; Cricetidae
Description: lncRNA (ENSCGRG00000026340.1)
Source: RNAcentral
AUUGCUCACUUGGAGGGAACAUAGCUGUGCUGUGAAGCAUCCUCGGCAUUCUGGGAGAGCCCCACAGAGGGAGGAAUGGAAGCCUCUUGCCAACACUCAUGUGAAUAAACUGCCUUGGGAGCAGAUCCUCCAGCACCAGUCAAGCUUUCAGUACUGACGGACUAGACUAUAACCUGAUAGGAAAUCCCAAGCCAGGCCCACCCAGUCAAAGCACUCUGAAAAGCCCAACCCCAGCAUGGGUGAUGACUCAGAAGCUGCAGGCAGUUCCCCAGGAAGAGCCUUCCUUGCCGUUGUUGUUGUUUUUGUUUUGUUGAUUUUUGUUUUGUUUUUGUUUUUUGAGUCAUGGUGUCUCUGUGUAAUUCUGGAACUAGCUCUUGUAGACCAGGUUGGCCUCGAACUCAGAGAGAGCCACCUGCCUCUGCCUUCCGAGUGCUGGGAUUAAAGGCAUGCGCCACCAUGCCCAGCUACAGUUUUUAUAACCUUGUGGAGAGGAAUGGAAAAUCCUGUUACUUUGGGACAUAUGACUCUAGCAGUGGUAUGAGCAAUAGGCUGAUUCCUGAAGACGUGAGUCAUUUCAUUUCUCCUAAAGACUAAAAUAACCAUGUGAGCUAUGUUGACAUAAGCCAGCCUUCCAAAGUGUGGACACUACUGGAGCGCUGAUGAAAUGGAUCUUGAGAGCUGAAGACCGGAAGGCACAUUCAGGAUGAGUUCACAAUACAGUCAAUACUCAAGGACCUUCCUGAGUUGCUGAGUUAUUGAGUGUUCAUCUCUGUGUUAUUCUCGUCUCUAUCUGUGUGUAUUGCCUCUAAUCUUUAAGAAAAUCCUGUGUUGUGGACAUAAUUUUCCUAUUGUAUAGAUAACAUGCAAAUUCAGAAAGGUCAUGCCUUGUCUAAGCCCACAUAGAAGUGGCAGAAUUGGGAUCCAAAUGAACAUUGUCUAGUCUAAAGCUUUCCCUCCUUUCUGAUUUCUGCCCUGGCUGUUCCCUGAGAGCACAUCAGAGAGGAGUUCUAGUCGCCCUAUAUAAAUCAUAAUCAAAUUGAGAUACUAUGCAGCAAUUUUGAUA